RNAcentral lists this long non-coding RNA (980 nucleotides) under Oncorhynchus kisutch (coho salmon). RNAcentral's name for it is "lncRNA (ENSOKIG00005050778.1)". Lineage: Eukaryota; Metazoa; Chordata; Actinopteri; Salmoniformes; Salmonidae. The record is from RNAcentral.
CUAGACCUAUCCAUAACCCUAUCCCAGCCAGUUCUAUUGUGUGAGACAAUCACUCAGCAGCUGUGGCCCAUUUGUAAAAGGGAGUGACCUGCAUGCUUAACUCGUGGCUACGUAAGAGACCAUGUCUACCAGGGGAAUUAGCAGAUCAGCUCACAGAGCAACAGAUGUGGCCCACACCCAUUCGAGGGAGAGAGAAAAAAAAACACAUUGCGCAUGGGUCUCCAACUUAACACCACUGUCAACUUAACAGCAAAGCAGUUGCACAAAUUCAUCAAGAAAAGGGAGUUAACGAAAAACGUAUUGUUUGACUUGGAAUGGCACUGACUGACAUCAUCAUGAAGGCAUCAACCACAGCAGGUCCGGCAAUAACCAUGACAUCGCCAGAAGCCUUCGAACAAGGAAUCAUUGAGGACGUCACCCGUCUGGUCACACAGAAUUUCACAGAACACUUCACACAACCCUUCAGAGCUGGAGUUCUGACAACAACUUCUGCAGAUAUGACUGAAACAAACUCAGCCGCUUUUUUAGUGGGAGCCGCCCACGUAGAGGAUGGAUCCUUUGAAGCCAUUUUCGGAGUGGAAGAGUUGAGCUCUCCAACAGCAUCCAUCUGUGAUGAGCAUGUCCUGCACUGAAACCUAGCCACUGAACACCUCUACCCCUGUCCUGCACUGAAACCUAGCCACUGAACACCUCUACCCCUGUCCUGCACUGAAACCUAGCCACUGAACACCUCUACCCCUGUCCUGCACUGAAACCUAGCCACUGAACACCUCUACCCUGUCCUGCACUGAAACCUAGCCACUGAACACCUCUACCCCUGACCUGCACUGAAACCUAGCCACUGAACACCUCUACCCUGUCCUGCACUGAAGCCUCUGAACACCUCAAACCCUGACCUGCACUGAAGUCAAGCCUCUCGAACAACUCAGCUCAUGUCUUAUAACCUCAUUCAGUCACUGCUGUGAUCCCUUCCCAACACU